GAUGAACGCUGGCGGCGUGCCUAAUACAUGCAAGUCGAGCGAACAGACGAGGAGCUUGCUCCUCUGACGUUAGCGGCGGACGGGUGAGUAACACGUGGAUAACCUACCUAUAAGACUGGGAUAACUUCGGGAAACCGGAGCUAAUACCGGAUAAUAUAUUGAACCGCAUGGUUCAAUAGUGAAAGACGGUUUUGCUGUCACUUAUAGAUGGAUCCGCGCCGCAUUAGCUAGUUGGUAAGGUAACGGCUUACCAAGGCAACGAUGCGUAGCCGACCUGAGAGGGUGAUCGGCCACACUGGAACUGAGACUCGGUCCAGACUCCUACGGGAGGCAGCAGUAGGGAAUCUUCCGCAAUGGGCGAAAGCCUGACGGAGCAACGCCGCGUGAGUGAUGAAGGUCUUCGGAUCGUAAAACUCUGUUAUUAGGGAAGAACAAAUGUGUAAGUAACUAUGCACGUCUUGACGGUACCUAAUCAGAAAGCCACGGCUAACUACGU
Molecule: ribosomal RNA, 496 nt
Filed under: uncultured bacterium
Lineage: Bacteria
Description: partial 16S ribosomal RNA
Rfam family: Bacterial small subunit ribosomal RNA
Source: RNAcentral